RNAcentral lists this ribosomal RNA (253 nucleotides) under uncultured bacterium. RNAcentral describes it as "partial 16S ribosomal RNA". It matches the Rfam family "Bacterial small subunit ribosomal RNA", at positions 524 to 776 of the family's 1533-position model. The record is from RNAcentral.
UACAGAGGGCUCAAGCGUUGUUCGGAUUCAUUGGGCGUAAAGGGCGCGUAGGCGGCGGGGUAAGUCGGGUGUGAAAUCUCAGAGCUCAACUCUGAAACUGCACUCGAUACUGCUCUGCUUGAGGACUGGAGAGGAGACUGGAAUUCACGGUGUAGCAGUGAAAUGCGUAGAUAUCGUGAGGAAGACCAGUGGCGAAGGCGGGUCUCUGGACAGUUCCUGACGCUGAGGCGCGAAGGCCAGGGGAGCAAACGGG